This 1011-nucleotide long non-coding RNA is filed under the name Chrysemys picta bellii (western painted turtle). RNAcentral describes it as "lncRNA (ENSCPBG00000006653.1)". Lineage: Eukaryota; Metazoa; Chordata; Testudines; Emydidae. The record is from RNAcentral.
AUGCCAGGAAAUAGAACACUAACUUCAAAGCAAGGGUCAUUGUGUUCAACAAUGGAAAUUCACAGACUCAAUCUGCAAUUGCUAUUCAUCAAAACCCAUGUGGGUAAAGACACUGAUUUCAACAAUUUCCAUCCCACCAUCAACCUCAGCCUGGACCAGUCCACACAAGAGAUCCACUUCCUGGACACUACAGUGCUAGUAAGCGAUGGUCACAUAAACACUACCCUAUACCGGAAACCUACUGACCGCUAUACUUACCUACAUGCCUCCAGCUUCCAUCCAGACCACAUCACACGAUCCAUUGUCUACAGCCAAGCUCUAAGAUACAACAGCAUUUGCUCCAAUCCUUCAGACAGAGACAAACACCUACAAGAUCUCUAUCAAGCAUUCUUAAAACUACAAUACCCACCUGCUGAAGUGAAGAAACAGAUUGAUAGAGCCAGAAGAAUACCCAGAAGUCACCAACUCCAGGACAGGCCCAACAAAGAAAGUAACAGAAUGCCACUAGCUGUCACCUUCAGCCCCCAACUAAAACCUCUCCAGUGCAUCAUCAAGGAUCUACAACCUAUCCUGAAGGACAAUCCCUCACUCUCACAGAUCUUGGGAGACAGGCCAGUCCUCGCUUACAGACAGCCCCCCAACCGGAAGCAAAUACUCACCAGCAACUACACACCACACAACAAAAACACUAACCCAGGAACCUAUCCUUGCAACAAAGCCCGUUGCCAACUCUGUCCACAUAUCUAUUCAAGGGACACCAACAUAGGACCUAAUCACAUCAGCCACACCAUCAGAGGCUCAUUCACCUGCACAUCUACCAAUGUGAUAUAUGCCAUCAUGUGCCAGCAAUGCCCCUCUGCCAUGUACAUUGGCCAAACCGGACAGUCUCUACACAAAAGAAUAAAUGGACACAAAUCAGACGUCAAGAAUUAUAACAUUCAAAAACCAGUCGGAGAACACUUCAACCUUCCUGAUCACUCAAUUACAGACCUAAAAGUCGCAAUUAUUUAA